UUGACAAAUGUUAAAUAAAUG
Molecule: non-coding RNA, 21 nt
Filed under: Caenorhabditis elegans
Lineage: Eukaryota; Metazoa; Nematoda; Chromadorea; Rhabditida; Rhabditidae
Source: RNAcentral